CCUCGGAGGUUAUGAAUCUUUACCUAUAGAUAGAGUUGUAAGCUUCGGUAAAAUUCUUAUCUUCUUCCCCAAAAACUGUGAUAAAUCUUUUGCUUCUAAGAGAUUUUAAAGCUCAUUGGCACUGUAACAUUUUUGAAGACCCAAGGUUUUCAUCACCAUCUCUACAAAAACCAUCAUCAUGUGAUAUGGAACUCUGGACAUUAUUAUCCUCUUUUUCUCAGAAACACAUUGCUGGUGUUGAAGAAGAAGAUAGAAUCUGGAGAAGAAGAUCUGAGCAAAAGAAACAUUCACAAAGAGGGCUAUAUGAGGAAGGCUAUAAUUGACUUUUAGAAAAAGUUUGUUAACUCUUUCUCUUUCUCUCCGCUUACUCACCUUAAGAUUUUUCUGACUAAGCGAAGGGAAAUUUAUCAGAGAAUUCCAAGGUGUGCCUUUCUUUAACAAGUUAGUCCUUCAAAAAUUGUGUUCAUUAAAUCCUGAUGAAAAGGGAGUGAUGUUUUUGUUUGAUUGAUAUUCAAUUGGACGAUUAUAUCAUCCAAGUUCAAAGAUAAAAGCCACAAGGCAGUGUAGAAGAAGGUUUGUGAAUUGUCGUCGGUGUGAGUAUGACAUCUACUUCGACAGAGAAGAGAGCUUUGUGGCGAAGAUGUUUUCCCUUGCAUCCAUCUUCACUGAGAAGAAAUCUAGGAAAAUAGAGAGAUGACAAAAUCACUUCUCAGAUAGUUUUAAAAUAUGCACUUGGAUCACAUCCAAGUCUGAUAAUAAAAAAAAAAUUGAGUUUGGAAUUUAGUGUUUGAAUGUGCUUUGUUAACAGAUAAAGGUUUGUAUGAAACAACGAUCUCAUAUAUGGGAAUUGGAUAGAUCAGCAAUCUUUUCA
Brassica oleracea var. oleracea is the source of this 871-nucleotide long non-coding RNA. RefSeq lists it as uncharacterized. The transcript is spliced from 2 exons. The record is from RefSeq and is a predicted model, not a curated record. NCBI's taxonomy places the organism in Eukaryota, Viridiplantae, Streptophyta, Magnoliopsida, Brassicales, Brassicaceae.